GACGAACGCUGGCGGCGUGCCUAAUACAUGCAAGUUGAGCGCUGAAGGUUGGUACUUGUACCAACUGGAUGAGCAGCGAACGGGUGAGUAACGCGUGGGGAAUCUGCCUUUGAGCGGGGGACAACAUUUGGAAACGAAUGCUAAUACCGCAUAAAAACUUUAAACACAAGUUUUAAGUUUGAAAGAUGCAAUUGCAUCACUCAAAGAUGAUCCCGCGUUGUAUUAGCUAGUUGGUGAGGUAAAGGCUCACCAAGGCGAUGAUACAUAGCCGACCUGAGAGGGUGAUCGGCAACAUUGGGACUGAGACACGGCCCAAACUCCUACGGGAGGCAGCAGUAGGGAAUCUUCGGCAAUGGACGAAAGUCUGACCGAGCAACGCCGCGUGAGUGAAGAAGGUUUUCGGAUCGUAAAACUCUGUUGGUAGAGAAGAACGUUGGUGAGAGUGGAAAGCUCAUCAAGUGACGGUAACUACCCAGAAAGGGACGGCUAACUACGUG
RNAcentral lists this ribosomal RNA (497 nucleotides) under uncultured bacterium. Its description in RNAcentral is "partial 16S ribosomal RNA". It matches the Rfam family "Bacterial small subunit ribosomal RNA", at positions 28 to 507 of the family's 1533-position model. The record is from RNAcentral.